RNAcentral lists this transfer RNA (74 nucleotides) under Blastopirellula marina. Its description in RNAcentral is "tRNA-Val". It matches the Rfam family "tRNA". From Rfam's summary of the family: Transfer RNA (tRNA) molecules are approximately 80 nucleotides in length. Their secondary structure includes four short double-helical elements and three loops (D, anti-codon, and T loops). The record is from RNAcentral. RNAcentral also lists the same sequence under 5 other names. Lineage: Bacteria; Pseudomonadati; Planctomycetota; Planctomycetia; Pirellulales; Pirellulaceae.
GGGCGGUUAGCUCAGUUGGCUAGAGCGUUACGUUGACAUCGUAGAGGUCACAGGUUCGAGCCCUGUACCGCCCA